GAUGAACGCUGGCGGCGUGCCUAAUACAUGCAAGUCGAGCGAACAGACGAGGAGCUUGCUCCUCUGACGUUAGCGGCGGACGGGUGAGUAACACGUGGAUAACCUACCUAUAAGACUGGGAUAACUUCGGGAAACCGGAGCUAAUACCGGAUAAUAUAUUAAACCGCAUGGUUCAAUAGUGAAAGACGGUUUUGCUGUCACUUAUAGAUGGAUCCGCGCCGCAUUAGCUAGUUGGUAAGGUAACGGCUUACCAAGGCAACGAUGCGUAGCCGACCUGAGAGGGUGAUCGGCCACACUGGAACUGAGACACGGUCCAGACUCCUACGGGAGGCAGCAGUAGGGAAUCUUCCGCAAUGGGCGAAAGCCUGACGGAGCAACGCCGCGUGAGUGAUGAAGGUCUUCGGAUCGUAAAACUCUGUUAUUAGGGAAGAACAAAUGUGUAAGUAACUAUGCACGUCUUAACGGUACCUAAUCAGAAAGCCACGGCUAACUACGUG
Molecule: ribosomal RNA, 497 nt
Filed under: uncultured bacterium
Lineage: Bacteria
Description: partial 16S ribosomal RNA
Rfam family: Bacterial small subunit ribosomal RNA
Source: RNAcentral